GAACAACACCAAAUUCCCUACUCUGUUAUUAAAACAUGUUAGUUAGUCUUUGCUCUCCUCGGUGUUGUGGGUCUUGAUAGUCCUGAAGGGGAAUCUGAAGGUUCUCCUUUAUGAUAUCAACUUCAGUGUUACUAAUUAUUUUCUCAUUUUGCGUGAAUAACUCUUCUGAAUAUAGAAGUGGGGGGUGGCAUUCACAGUAAGCUCUCACUUAGCCACACUAAUAACAAGAAUAACUUAGGAAAUCACGUUUGGCUUGGGCAUGCCAUUUGAGAAGUGAGGGAGACAACAAUGUUCUGUUUAUUCUGUUCUUUGCUAAUGAUACUUUUCUUCAACUGCUAACAAAAAUCAGUUUAUGUUUUUCUGCACAUGUGUAAAGUUAUGGCCAAAAAAAAAAAAAAUCCAGAAAAUAUUGGAGGUUUCUAUAUGAGGUACAAGAAACUCAUAAAGCAGAGUUAUGAUCGAGUUAAGACUAUGACACCUCGCUGCCUGCCCGUGACUCUAUGAUAACUUCCAACACCUGUUCAAGACAGUUUCUCUUCAGCAUCAUCUUAAUCAUUUCCUCCCAGAGGUCUCAGUGUAAAAAUGUGUUUUUGCAAGCUUUUCUACCUUUGGCAAUAACACAGAAUCUUUUGCAUUUAAGCGUAUAAGCAUAUUAGGGGGGGAGGGUGUAGCUCAAGUGGUAGAGCGUGUGCUUAGCAUGCAUGAGGUCCUGGGUUCAAUCCCCAGUACCUCCUCUAAAAAUAAAUAAACUUAAUUACCUUCCCCCACCAAAAAAAAUUAUGAAGUUGGAUAAAUUGUAAUAGCUUUGUAUCCUAAGAGACCAUUAAUUAGCAUGAGUUAAUCAUUUAAAAAAUUAAGCAUAUAAGCUUAUAAUGACAUGCUUAAUUGUUACAGCUUAAAAGUCCACCAUCCUUUCCACUGUCCAAUGACAGAGCUGCCCCUCUGAAAUCUUAGUAAGUGGGGCAUUACUCUUUGGGCACUCUGUCUUCUAUUAUCCUCCUUCUUGACCAAUAUUCUUUUCCCCCCAACCAAAAAUUCAUUUGGCUUUGUGAAGCACUGACAUCAAAUCAUUAUCAAAUCAUCACUAGAAUUGGUUGGUAAAAUGUAGAAAACAUGUUAUUUAAUUUGUUUUAUAUGUUAUUAAACAUAGAAAAUAUGUUACUCAUAGGUAAGUAAAAGAAUAAGAACAUAAAAACUAUAUACAUGUAUAUUGCAUGGCAGUAACAAUAUUAAUAGGAGCAGUAAUAAUAAUAAUAAUGAUAGCUAACAAUUUAGAAACAAUCUUGCUAAGCACAGUUCCAAGUACUUUUCUUAUACAGAAGUUCACUGAAUCCUCACAAUAGCCCUCUUAACUACACUGCCCCUCUAGCCACAUCCAUGUGUACUUUAGAAAUAACUUUUACACAAACGAGCAUUCCUAUAGAGUACAAGCGGGGACCCCUUCUGGCCCUGGUGCAGUUAGAAGUGCAUCCUUCCCUUCACGGUGGCCGUGUAACAUCACACAGUUCCUGUAGCUAAACUCUUGAUACCCAAAUUCUCAAUGUGCUAACAGUAGACAGCGUUAAGAAGAAUUUCAGUAUUUAAGGAGACACUAGAAAUCAUUUUUCAUAAUAUUUCUGUACUUCAUGAUGGCAGAAUGCAGUCCAUAUACAUUGAAAAUUAUCCUAGGAAACAAUUAUUGUUUGGAGCCCUAAGGAAACAAACCCUGCUUUUUUAGUUUACAUGGAUUUAUUUAUAUGUUGGUCACUGAGAAUAGUGGUAAAAAGGUGAGGGUGAUAUUAUGCUAAUUAGUAAGUUUUCCCCUUUCUUAAGCAAAUACCUUCAGUGUCAACAAAAGACUAGUCAGUGGCAUUCAGCUUCUUUGAUUACGUACACACAUCAGUGAAAACUUUUAUGACACACCCUAAUGUAUUUUUAUUUAUAAAGUGUGUGUGUGUGUGUGUGUGUGUGUGUGUAGUGGUGUAAUAGGUACAUUUAUGAAAACAUAUCCAACAUAGAAUUUGAAAUAUUGGGAUAAAAAUAAAUACAAAUAGAAUUCUAACAGUUUCUUAUCACCUGCCUAGAAGUUUUAAUAUUUUCUUCCCACACCUCAGUGAAUUGCCUUGUACCCACUUUGAAGAUCGCUGGAAAAAUAGCUGAUGGUGUGGAAAUUGAGGAAGUUUCUUAGCCCAGCAGCCACAGAAUUUUGCAAGUAUUUCUUUGAAAACUUGCUUCACUCUGCUACUUUUCUUAUUUUUUUAACUCUUAGUGCUGCCAAGACAACAAUUCAGACAGUCUGCUGUCAUCAGAACAAGGAACGGCUACAGGAGUCCCACUUCUCCUCUGAAACCUUCUCUGACCCUGUAGAAAUAGGACGUGCUUUCUGCGCAUCCCCCCAAAUAACCCCAACGCUCCACUAGACCUUCAGCCCUGUGAAAAGAACUGAGGCUGAAGUACACCUGAAACUUGAAAAGAAAGUAUACCCUAAAUAUAAAUAUAACAUCUCAGAAUCA
Molecule: long non-coding RNA, 2492 nt
Organism: Camelus dromedarius (Arabian camel)
Lineage: Eukaryota; Metazoa; Chordata; Mammalia; Artiodactyla; Camelidae
Exons: 2
Source: RefSeq, a predicted model, not a curated record